UUCACUAAAACUAAACAGCGUCAAUUGCCUUAUUUUAUUCUCACCUUUCUGCUAUUUUGAAGAAUUACUUUCGCAUUCGAUAUUUUGCGUGAGUUUUACUCUCUCCUUUGCCGGUAGUUUCUCCCAAUUUCUUCUACACAAGUGAAUUUUUCCACAGGUUGUUGAUGUUCUUCCUCUUUCUCCAUGCCCAUUAAUAUGAAAGCAUGAUUCUACAACUUGAAUGUUUUUCUACUGAUUAGAAAAAUUUUGUAAUGUAUAUUGCUUUGGGUCUUAAGAAAUUAAUUUAGGAAGAAGGUAAGAAUGUUUUUGUUCUACUGGUCUUACUUAAUUUUAUACUUUGAAAUGUUUAGUUUAGCUUUUUCAAAUUAUGAACUGCUAAUGUGAACCUAUAAUCACAAAAUGUGUUGGCAUUCUUUGACUGUUAAAAUAUGAUAAAUGGUGAGGUUCCAAUAUCUCUUCGACUAUUAGUACAACCUCAAAAUCCCCUUGAAAUGUUAUGUCCCAGUGAUUCUACACUUUUGAGCCUCUGAGAUUUCUUCUGAGGGAAGAGAUAUCCAGCUAGAUACUGCCCACUUGUAAUAUGCAAGUAAAAUGGAAUUGAAAGAGUAAUUAAGAGAGAAAAAAAUUUAGGUGUUUUUGAAUAUCUUGUACCUGAUAUACCUGUUUCUUUGAAUCUCUUAUUAUUGACCUAAUGGAAUUGGCUAUAAAUGUCCAUUGAUAGACAUAUUAAGAUCACAUUUCUGAAUUACUUCCCCUCGUAUAGAGCGGGGAAAGUAUAAUUAAACGGAGUUAGAUCAAGUGUUUUAUGUUGGAUAAGAUCUUUCAUGACUCGUAUAAAGUUUGUGACAAAAUAUCAUUAGAUAUGAAGGGGGGUUGCGGGUCUAUUUGAUAAGAAACUAUUUUAAUAUAGAGAAUUUUCAAGAUGUUAUUCCUUGUAAAGGAAAGAUUUUUAGGAUGUUGUGUUCAAAGCAUAUAUGUCAGGUUCCGCUAGAUCUCUAGAACUGAAUUUCAACUCAAUAGCAUGUCUAGGAUAUUAAGAUCAUCUUUUUCCUUUUACUUUUAGGUUCAAUAUUGACUGAGAAAUCUUGCAAACGGAGGAAUGACCAUCAUGUCCCCAAUCAUGAACUACUAGAACAAGAAACAAGAAAGAUACCAUAGCCAAAAAUACAUGAAAUUUGGAUAACUCCAUUUUUGUUGUACAUUCAAACUCAAAGUAGUUUAAAUCUUACUUAUGAUUUAUUUUAUAUCAUUUACUAUAUACUAAUUUUACUUUUAAUGUAGAAUACUUUCAAGCAAUUGAAGAGCUAAAAAAGAAUCAACCGAUAGAUGAUCAAGGCAAUCCAAUCAUGUUAUCAAGAAAGAAACGCUCUUUUGCUGGUUGGAUGUAGCUGGCGGCGUGUAUAAGGAAAGGGCGUACGACCUUUGCUUCGAGAAGAACCUUCAUCACCUUCAGUGUGAAUUACAAGGUAUAUGGGGGUUCGCCACCAUGACAGAUGAGUAACCUGAUAAGAUGCGACAGGAAGUUCAGGAGGUUGCUAGGAAGUAAGAGGAGGAACGAAAAAGAAGGAUGGAGGAGGAGCGACGUAGGACGACACUUGAGUCAGACGUCCAAGAACUCAAGAUUCAAGUAAAUACGUUAAUCAAGCUCCUCGUUCUCCGCCCCUUGUCUCUGAUGAUGAUGGUGGAGGGGGUGAGAAUGAUUAAAAGGAUGAAAUGGAGUAUUAGGUGGGGG
RNAcentral lists this long non-coding RNA (1732 nucleotides) under Capsicum annuum. Its description in RNAcentral is "long non-coding RNA (CANN_LNC016388)". Lineage: Eukaryota; Viridiplantae; Streptophyta; Magnoliopsida; Solanales; Solanaceae. The record is from RNAcentral.